RNAcentral lists this transfer RNA (69 nucleotides) under Fukomys damarensis (Damara mole-rat). It matches the Rfam family "tRNA". From Rfam's summary of the family: Transfer RNA (tRNA) molecules are approximately 80 nucleotides in length. Their secondary structure includes four short double-helical elements and three loops (D, anti-codon, and T loops). Further hydrogen bonds mediate the characteristic L-shaped molecular structure. tRNAs have two regions of fundamental functional importance: the anti-codon, which is responsible for specific mRNA codon recognition, and the 3' end, to which the tRNAs corresponding amino acid is attached (by aminoacyl-tRNA synthetases). tRNAs cope with the degeneracy of the genetic code in two manners: having more than one tRNA (with a specific anti-codon) for a particular amino acid; and 'wobble' base-pairing, i.e. permitting non-standard base-pairing at the 3rd anti-codon position. Lineage: Eukaryota; Metazoa; Chordata; Mammalia; Rodentia; Bathyergidae. The record is from Rfam by way of RNAcentral.
GGGAAUAUAGCUUAGUGGUAGAGCACUUGUCUAGUAUGUGCAAGGUCCUGGGUUCAAUCCCCAGUACCA